RNAcentral lists this transfer RNA (64 nucleotides) under Ammothea hilgendorfi. Its description in RNAcentral is "tRNA-Val". Lineage: Eukaryota; Metazoa; Arthropoda; Pycnogonida; Pantopoda; Ammotheidae. The record is from RNAcentral.
UUAAAAGUUAUAAUAAUUAUUUAUUUACAAUAAAUAAAUCCUAUAAUAAAUUAGGGCUUUUAAU